Triticum aestivum (bread wheat) is the source of this 115-nucleotide non-coding RNA. Lineage: Eukaryota; Viridiplantae; Streptophyta; Magnoliopsida; Poales; Poaceae. The record is from Rfam.
AUGGUACUCGCUCCGUUCGGAAUUACUUGUCUUGGAAAUGGAUGUAUCUAAAACUAAAAUACGUCUAGAUACGUUCAUUUCUGUGACAAGUAAUUCCGAACGAAGGGAGUAUAAU